AAUUAGAAAAGAAAAAGUUAAAGUUUGUACCUUUUGUAUUAUGGUUUAAUAAGGUUAUACGAAUAAGGUUUUAUAACCCGAAGCUGAACGAGCUAGUGUACUCUGCUUUAAGAGAGAGAGCUUUUACUGUUGCAAUAGUAAGGCUUGAGGGUACAAUAGGUGUGAAAUGCUUAUCGCGUUCAGGGAUAGCUGGUUUUCCUAGAAAUAAGUAUAAGCUGAGCGUACGUUUUUAUUACAAUAGUAUUGAAUUCUAUAGGAUAAAAAAAUUGUUUUGAUAAUAGUGUGUUUGUAAGACAGAAAGGGACAAGCUUUUCUGUCAAAAAAGAAAAAGCUUUAAUUACUGAUAAAGGGCGGUUAUAAGAAUGUUUCGUAUAUUAAUAAAAAGUAGGAUUAAUAGCAUCUAACUUUAUAGAGGGCGUUAAAGCUAAUUUAAUAAAAUCAAUACAAAAAAUUUAUGACGGAUAGCCCCAAAUUGUAUAUAUUAUAGGAAGAUUUCAUUUACUUGAAAGUUAUAAUGUUAAAAUUAGUAAAGAGUAAAAUAUUUUUUGUGAUUUAAUCAAUCCUAACUUUUGGAUGGAGUAAUAAUUUAUGGUCGGGAAAUUAGUUUAUUUUGAUUGUCUACUAACACAAGUAAUAUAUUAUAAAUUAAAUAAGGGAAAGGAAUUCGGCAAAUAAUAACUUCGCCUGUUUACCAAAAACAUCGCUCUUUGUAAAGAAUCUAACAUAUAAAGGGUCCUGCCUGCCCGGUGACUUAGUUAAACGGCCGCGGUAUCUUGACCGUGCAAAGGUAGCAUAAUCAUUUGCCUUUUAAAUGGGGGCUGGUAUGAAUGGCAAGACGGGGGUUAAGCUGUCUCUCUCUUAUAAUCUUGAAGUUAAUAUUUUUGUGAAGAAGCAGGAAUAUAGUCGUAGGACGAGAAGACCCUAUCGAGCUUUAGUAGAAAUAGGAUGCAAUUUGUUUAUACUAUCUUACUGCUAAUCAAUUAUUAUAAAUGAUUAGGUAAUUUUACUGUGAGAUAGUUGUGUUGUGUAUCUAAUGCUUAGGUUGGGGCAACCGCGGAGAAAAAAAAUCCUCCGCUAGUUUAUUGGUAAAAAGUCUUUUUCUUGUGUAAAAUUUUAUAUAGAAAGUGAUCCACUUAUAAAGGUGAGCAAAAGAAUAAGUUACCGUAGGGAUAACAGCGUAAUUUUUUUGGAGAGUUCAUAUUGAUAAAAAAGUUUGCGACCUCGAUGUUGGAUCGGGAUUUCCUGGGGAUGCAGCAGUUCCUAA
This 1264-nucleotide ribosomal RNA is filed under the name Meridiastra fissura. Its description in RNAcentral is "partial 16S ribosomal RNA". It matches the Rfam family "Bacterial large subunit ribosomal RNA", at positions 566 to 2568 of the family's 2925-position model. The record is from RNAcentral. Lineage: Eukaryota; Metazoa; Echinodermata; Asteroidea; Valvatida; Asterinidae.